UCAAUUCUUCCUUCUUGUUGAUAAAGGAAAAGGGUGGCUAGACGAUGGCCUCAUUGCUGCAAGAAGAAGGUUAAGAUAUUUUUUUUAAAACUGAAAUACUUAACAUAGAAAAAAACUAAAAUAACCCAUUAAGGCAUGAUUGCAUCCAACAUUCUAAAUACAAAUAAAUAUAAAAAACAUAAAGCAUACAACACAAUCAACAUUUUAGACCUUUUGGAGUAUCAAGACGCUUAACAACGGAGAUCUCAUUUUCGAACUCAACCUGAGCAAGAACGUUUGAUGAAUGAGAGCAUCAAAUUGUACCCGUGGGUCCUAAUGCAAAAAUCAAAGCUCAAUCACUAAAAAUCAAAACCGAUGUGGCAAAACAAUAGCCUUUAUAUACCCACAGUUAUAUUUCAGAGUCACCAUCAGAUCACUAAGAGCAUUGUACUUGUCGAUUGAUGACAGACAAUCUGAUCCCAAACAAAAUACAAAAAACUAGAAAUAAUGUUUGUAUAGAUCCAUAUACAUACUAAAAUAUAUAUAUAUACACACAAAAAAAAUAGCAACAGAUUUGUAGUUGACAAUACCCACCGUCCACCAUUCCUAAAAAAUAAAAUCAACAAUCAAGUAUCAGAAACUCAAAAAACUAUAAACCCUAGUAAAUAAUAAACCUAUAAAAUGUGAAACAACAAUUUUGUUGGCGGACCCAGAAAUUGAUGGGCCAAAAGCCAGGGGUUCCCAUUGAAAUCAUCGUCCUCUUCACCGUCUACGACCACCUUCCUGAUGUACUCCUGGGUAGGGACGAUUGAAUCGGUUUCGCCACCAGAAGUGGGUUUUGAUGUGCGAUCCUUGUGAAGUAUGCCAGCCUGAAGGGGCGACAGCAACCGGCGAACUGACCUAGGGCUUGGAUUGGUUUGGAGAAUCCACCGAGCAAGAGCCACCGAGCAAGAACGGCAGGGGCGACGGCGAAGAAGGUUGCUUGUGGUGGCCUCCGGAGAAUACGAUGGUCUGGUUUUUGAACGGGAUUGGAACUACUCGAAUGAGGGAGGAGAGAAACG
RNAcentral lists this long non-coding RNA (1040 nucleotides) under Actinidia chinensis (golden kiwifruit). RNAcentral's name for it is "long non-coding RNA (ACHI_LNC001441)". The record is from RNAcentral. Lineage: Eukaryota; Viridiplantae; Streptophyta; Magnoliopsida; Ericales; Actinidiaceae.